AGCCAGACUUGCUUGCAGUUGCUCAUCCGGGCUUUUGCCCGGUGCACUCUUCUGCAGGCAGGCCAGCAUCAGUUUGGGCGGUGGGAUAAAGGUCUCUGUCACGUACCUUCCUUCGGGUUGGCCAUAUAGGGGAGACGUCAUACCACCAGCCUGGACUGAGGUCCGCGCAUCUGCUAGGAUGCUGGCGUAAUGGCUGUAAGCGGCCCGUCUUGA
RNAcentral lists this ribosomal RNA (213 nucleotides) under Bipolaris sp. f88. RNAcentral's name for it is "partial 28S ribosomal RNA". Lineage: Eukaryota; Fungi; Ascomycota; Dothideomycetes; Pleosporales; Pleosporaceae. The record is from RNAcentral.